CUUCCUCUUCUUCUUUCACUUUCAGUUGCAGUUUCUUUGCUUCUAAUAGUUUCAGGGAGCAAAGAGCAAGCCAGACAACAAGUGCUGCAACCUAUUUCUUUUCUAGAUAAUGCGUACAGACUACUAAUAAGGCUUCUUCUCCAUCGAAUGUGAAGAUUGUCCGCAACAGGUUUGAGGAUCAAGGUGACAGGUCAAAAUGUGCUUCCAAUAGCGAGUGAAUUUCCAAUAGGGAAGACACCUUGAAAUCUGGUUUGAAAUCGACGUUGGCAUAUUCUGGAGAGUCAUACUUCCCACUUUCAUCAAGCAAGCAUGCAACAGCUCCUGCUCGCUUCCCACAAGCCAC
RNAcentral lists this long non-coding RNA (343 nucleotides) under Prunus dulcis (almond). Its description in RNAcentral is "sRNA ncRNA". The record is from RNAcentral. Lineage: Eukaryota; Viridiplantae; Streptophyta; Magnoliopsida; Rosales; Rosaceae.